GGCAGCAGCAGGGAAUCUUGCGCAAUGGGCGAAAGCCUGACGCAGCGACACCGCGUGGGGGAUGAAGGCCUUCGGGUUGUAAACCCCUUUCAGGAGGGAUGAAAUUGACAGUACCUCCACAAGAAGGACCGGCCAACUACGUGCCAGCAGCCGCGGUAAUACGUAGGGUCCGAGCGUUAUCCGGAAUCAUUGGGCGUAAAGAGCUCGUAGGCGGUUCAGCAAGUCGGCUGUGAAAGUUCGAGGCUCAACCUCGAAAUUGCAGUCGAUACUGCUGUGACUCGAGUCCGGUAGAGGAGAAUGGAAUUCCCGGUGUAGCGGUGAAAUGCGCAGAUAUCGGGAGGAACACCAGUAGCGAAGGCGGUUCUCUGGGCCGGCACUGACGCUGAGGAGCGAAAGCGUGGGGAGCAAACAGGAUUAGAUACCCUGGUAGUCCACGCCGUAAACGUUGGAUACUAGGUGUGGCGUCCCGAUUAACGGUCGCCGUGCCGAAGCUAACGCAUUAAGUAUCCCGCCUGGGGAGUACGGCCGCAAGGCUAAAACUCAAAUGAAUUGACGG
Molecule: ribosomal RNA, 556 nt
Filed under: uncultured bacterium
Lineage: Bacteria
Description: bacterial SSU rRNA
Rfam family: Bacterial small subunit ribosomal RNA
Source: RNAcentral